UACAAAAACAUGUCCUUUUGAUUAUAAUUUAAGGUCUAAUCUGCUCAAUGAGAAAUUAAAUUGCCGCAGUAUUUUAACUGUGCAAAGGUAGCAUAAUAAUUAGUUUUUUAAAUGGGAUCUAGAAUGAAUGAUUGGACGAGAAAUUAUCUGUCUCUUAAUAAUUUUUAUUUAAUUUAACUUUUAAGUAAAAAGGCUUAAUUGUUUUUAAAAGACGAGAAGACCCUAUAGAGUUUAAUUAUUAAAAUUUAUAAAAAUUUUUGGAAUUUUAUUUUAUUUUUAAAUAAUUUAAUUGGGGUGAUUGAAAGAUUUAAUUAACUCUUUUUAUUAAAAUCAUUGAUUUAUGACAAAUAAUUCUAUUAUAAUAAGUUUAAUUUAAAUUACCUUAGGGAUAACAGCGUAAUUUUAUUUAAUAGUUCAUAUUGAAAUUAAAGUUUGCGACCUCGAUGUUGGAUUAAAAUUUAUUUUGGGUGUAGAAGCUUAAAAUUUAAGUCUGUUCGACUUUUGAAAUUUUACAUGAUCUGAGUUUAAACCGGUGUAAGCCAGGUUG
Molecule: ribosomal RNA, 547 nt
Filed under: Lamprigera yunnana
Lineage: Eukaryota; Metazoa; Arthropoda; Insecta; Coleoptera; Lampyridae
Description: partial large subunit ribosomal RNA
Rfam family: Bacterial large subunit ribosomal RNA (bases 388-546)
Source: RNAcentral